UGGGGAAUAUUGGACAAUGGGGGCAACCCUGAUCCAGCAAUGCCGCGUGUGUGAAGAAGGCCUUCGGGUUGUAAAGCACUUUUAUCGGGAACGAAACAUUGUCGGCCAAUACCCGGCAAGACUGACGGUACCCGAGGAAUAAGCACCGGCUAACUCCGUGCCAGCAGCCGCGGUAAUACGGAGGGUGCAAGCGUUGUCCGGAUUUAUUGGGCGUAAAGGGCUCGUAGGCGGCGUGUCGCGUCGGGAGUGAAAGCCCGCUGCUUAACGGCGGGUUGGCUUCCGGUACGGGCAUGCUGGAGUGUGGCAGGGGAGACUGGAAUUCCUGGUGUAGCGGUGGAAUGCGCAGAUAUCAGGAGGAACACCGGUGGCGAAGGCGGGUCUCUGGGCCAUUACUGACGCUGAGGAGCGAAAGCGUGGGGAGCGAACAGGAUUAGAUACCC
RNAcentral lists this ribosomal RNA (440 nucleotides) under uncultured bacterium. Its description in RNAcentral is "bacterial SSU rRNA". It matches the Rfam family "Bacterial small subunit ribosomal RNA", at positions 355 to 787 of the family's 1533-position model. The record is from RNAcentral.